RNAcentral lists this long non-coding RNA (751 nucleotides) under Gallus gallus (chicken). Lineage: Eukaryota; Metazoa; Chordata; Aves; Galliformes; Phasianidae. The record is from RNAcentral.
AAUUACUUGACUUGCACUCGAAGUAGAGACUUCAGGAGCAACUUCAACAGGCAGAGGCGGAGAUGUUUUCUCAAUCACUACUGGAAACUGUGGAUGCAGGUUAAUUGUUGAAAUUCCAGGAGAAAGCUGAGGCUGUCCAGGCUCUAGUAUUUGCUUUUCUUGAUCAAGUGAAACUAAUUCCUGAUCAGGGGCUGCAGUUGCCACUUCUUGCACAGCCAUGUCAGGCUCACUUUUCUGUGAGAAGGUCAGUGCCUCCACCGGCUCUUCCUUUGCUGGGAGAGGUGGAGGAGAAGUACCUUUAGCAACAGGUUGAGUAAUCGGGGUCUUGCCAAUGACAGGUGGCUGUACUCUAACUGCAGGGUGAUGAUAUAGCUUGUUUCUGUGAGGGCCAGAAACCGUAUAACCCAUUCCACCAGGGCAGAUUUCCUUAAAAGCAGCUGUUCCUGGAAGGGGGCACUUCUCACAGUUUGGGCCCCAGGCUUUUCCAACACUGCAACAGCAAAGCUGCUUGCUGAGCUGCACAGAAAGAGGAUGCAUGCAUUGCUUUCCUGCACUAACAAACCGGUAGCAGGGUCCUUUCUCUUCAGCAACGAUAGGACUAUCAGCUAUGCAUCUUGAAAGGGUAGGAUCUGGCACAAAUCCCAUUUUGCAGGUACAUCUGUAGCUGCCCAUGGUAUUCAAACACUCACCAUUAGGGCACACUCCCUGUAACUGACAUUCAUUGAUAUCUUGACAAAACGUAGCAUUGAUC